AUGUAAGGACAUGUUUAUUCAAAUUUGCAAUUCAAGGAUGUUUUGUGUAAGAGUUACAUUGUAGCCUGCUGUCAGUGACGGAUUUAGAAAA
Molecule: long non-coding RNA, 91 nt
Organism: Thalassophryne amazonica
Lineage: Eukaryota; Metazoa; Chordata; Actinopteri; Batrachoidiformes; Batrachoididae
Exons: 3
Source: RefSeq, a predicted model, not a curated record